GCGAGGCACGAAGGGCCGCUCAGGGCGCAGGCCCAGAUCCCUGAGAGGUCGGAAAGGGUGGAUCCCUUCCUCAGAUGCCGGUUUUAUUCCCAACGUCGGGCCUCGGUUUUGUUUCCUCCUUUCGCGUCUUUCCCGGACCCGCGCCCUGUGGAGAGAUUUUCUUCCCCCUUUACCCCCUGUCCGGGCCACAUCUGGCAGGAGGCUUCUCGGAAGCUGAGACAUCAUCCCUAGGUACAAAGAAAUCAGAUUUCAGGAAGAUCAAUUCAAAUAUUUGUUUGGCAUUUAAAGGAAUUUUAAGAAAGUAUGUUCCCAUGUUGAUGGAUGUGGAGGAAAGACGCAAGCGAAGGUGUUACUCCCAACCAGGGCACUUAUUUGCUGUGAGAUCUUUGGCUUGUUCCCUGGGUCUCCAUGGCUCACAUCUGUCACACAAGGGGAAGACUUGCCUUUGAGGGACAACUGGGAGGAAAACACAAGAUCCAGACAACAAAGUCUUUUGGAAAGUUAAAAGUACUAUUCAAAACCUAAGUAGUAGUAGUAGUAACUAUUUCUCAUGCUUAAUUCUCAAAAUACUAUGGAGGGAAACUGGAACCUAGACAUUGGUUCCACUUGCAAGAUUAGAACAAGAUGGAUGAAGAAUGUUCCGUGAAUUCCAAAGCAACUCAGUGGUGAGCCUGCUAUAUCUGCCUUUGUCCAGCCCAAGGAAAUAUCCUCAAAGCUGGAGGUCAGUGGUCAGAUGUCUUCAAAGUGGGAACAGCAGCAUCUAUUUCCAGAUCCCCAGCUUUGCGUGAAAGGAGGGCUGCUUGCUCACACAGGUUCUCCUUCUCAAAGCUGCUUUCAUAAUCUGCCCUCCUCUUGCUUUACAAAAGGAAUGCAUACUCUUAACCUGCCCUGAACUGCCCCUGGGAGCAAAAACCUCUGGGGCACCAAACAAAGGGACACUUUGAAAUAUAGAUUUCUGAAAAGGCUCCUUUAAUAAUUAAUCAAAGGGGGAAGAAAAACUGCCUACUUUUUGUCUUCCAUUGUUUUGUACAUUUUUUUAUUGGGAGGAUUUGGCCUCCAUUGGGAUAUUUUGAAUUCAGAUAUUGUGUAGUGGGAUAAUGGAGUGGAAAUGACUUCACCUCUUCCAUCUCUAGUUUAUUAUUGAAAAAACUUUGCUCCUAGCAACAACCUCCUGAAAUCAAAGCAAACAUCAAAUCCUCCAAGUACCUUCCCAGCCCCCCUCCCUGCAUAUUUAAGAUAAACCAUUCCAUUCUGUACAUUUUAUUCAGUACUCACCCCAGAAUGUCUUUCGUGGAAAGAAAAGCUACCUUCAAAGGGGUACAAGUAAAUAACGCUGAUUCCUUUCAAGGAAACUUCAUCUGGGACUAUCAAAUUAUUCAAGAUACACCGGAUAAAUUCGCCAACAAAACUGUCAUGUGAUUUCUUUCAGAUUUUCUGUGCAUUAAUCAAUAUUGUAGUUAAUAAGGUAGUUUUAUCAAAACAUAUCAUGAAAUAUUUACUCCAAUACCAGUCAGUCCUCAUCUGAUUUAACUUAUAAAAUGUUUAAUGAGGGGCGCAUGGGUGGCUCAGUGGGCGAAGCAUCCGACUUCGGCUCAGGUCAUGAUCUCACAGUUUGUGGUUUCGAGCCUCUCUUCGGGCUCUGUGCUGACAGCUCAGAGCCUGGAGUCUGCUUCAGAUUCUGUGUCUCCCUUUCUCUCUCUCCUCCCCUGCUCAUGCUCUGUUUCUCUCAGAAAAUAAAAAUAAACAUUUAAAAAAAAUUUUUUUAAUGUUUAAUGAUGCAAAUCCUGGACUAAUUAGUGCAAUAUGCCUUUCUCUUUCAUUGGAAAAGUUCAAUCAUGAUGUCAAACAGGAGCACCGGGGUGGCUCAUUCGGUUAAGCGUCCGACUUCAGCUCAGAUCACCAUCUCAUGGUUCCUGGGUUCAAACCUCGCAUUGGGCUCUGUGCUGACAGCUCAGAGCCUGGAGCCUGCUUCGGAUUCUGUGUCUCCCUCUCUCUCUGCCUCUGCCCCAUUCACACUCUGUGUCUCUCUGUCAAAAAUAAAUAAACAUUAAAAAAAAAACAUGAUGUCAAAAGUAAUAAAGUUAAUUCUGUUUUUUAUGCAUCAUUUUAUUUUCAAAAGCUGAAUACCUGAUUUUUAUAUAUGCACAUGCACACAUCCAAGAAAUAAAAAAAAAUCCUCAUAUUCCUUACUUUGUAAAUAACUCACAAUAUUAGUCACAUAACAUAUUGGAACAUAUAUGGCAAAUA
Panthera uncia (snow leopard) is the source of this 2247-nucleotide long non-coding RNA. RefSeq lists it as uncharacterized. NCBI's taxonomy places the organism in Eukaryota, Metazoa, Chordata, Mammalia, Carnivora, Felidae. The transcript has 3 exons. The record is from RefSeq and is a predicted model, not a curated record.